This is a long non-coding RNA of Mesocricetus auratus (golden hamster), 858 nucleotides long. RefSeq lists it as uncharacterized. The record is from RefSeq and is a predicted model, not a curated record. Lineage: Eukaryota; Metazoa; Chordata; Mammalia; Rodentia; Cricetidae. The transcript is spliced from 2 exons.
CUUGAGAGACCCGCGUGAACUUGUUUUGCCAGCUUGAAACAAAGAGGAAGGUGUGAGAGAAUGCGACCCGCCUCCUCCUCACUUCUAGCGACUUUGCUCACAGAGCCUAUCGUGCCCAAGGAGUUGCGACUUGCUGGUCACAGGUAGGAGGAGAAUUUGGCAGCAUGGAAACCAGGCAUCCUCUCUAAUUAUUGUGUGCAAAGAAAACCGCGUUUCCAGGCUUCAGGUAAAACAAUCCACAGAUACGUCCGUCCGAACCUUGGGCAAUCACACAAACGCCCUGCAUGUCUACCCCGCAGAGACGCAGGUAGAUUCUAUUUCAUCCGAACCUUAGGAUGCUGUUGGCCUGGGGCAGGGAUGUGCACCUGCAGAGGAAGCGGUAGACUGGCCACGGGGCUGGAUCUGGAAGUCCUGAGCCUGCUGCGUGGAAGAGCACCGAGUACCUAUUUGAACGUCUCAGUGAGAACACAGAGCAGACUUCCAAGGAAAUAAAUCACGUGGCCGCCCUGGAAAACGGAUUCAUCAUCCAAGCUCUAUACUAAGUUCACUUGCAUGCUUCACAUGGCUUUACAACCACAGCAAAUGACAGCGAUAGGAUCCAUGAGUCAAAUGCUCUAAGACAUGGGGCCGGAGUGAGGAGUCCUUUCACAGCAAGCCCCCUUCUGUCCCUGGGCUGGAAUGGAAAAGCACCAGGCAACCAGUGAGUUCCUGACCCUGCGGUAGAUUGUAUGUUCACAGUGGUGGCAUGAGAAAUACCGCACAACUGAAUGAGAUCAAGUUUAUUAUAUUCAAAGGAAUUUUCCCCUUUUAGAGAUUACACUUUUGCUUUCUGAGAAUAAAGUGCCCUUUUCUUACUUA